Long non-coding RNA from Vespa mandarinia (Asian giant hornet), 1351 nucleotides. The record is from RefSeq and is a predicted model, not a curated record. NCBI's taxonomy places the organism in Eukaryota, Metazoa, Arthropoda, Insecta, Hymenoptera, Vespidae.
UUUUCAAGAAAAACAAAAAUAUUAAUGAAAACUAUCGAAAUUAUAAAUUAUAUCAAGACUUUUUAAAUUUAUCAGGACUCUACACUCUAAAAAUAUUAGAGUAGGGCAUAAGCUAAAUUUCUCUUAUGUUAGAACUUGUACACUUGUAUAUCUGUAAAUUUAAAUCAUAUAGUGCUCAUUAAGAACGUAUGAUCUAGCGACAGAUCGAAGACAAAUUUUAUAAUGGUAAGUAUCAGCUAUCGCCGUCUAUUGAAUUGUAUCUGAAAUACAUUUGAUAGAUAUAUGCUUCUUCUGUAUAAAUUAUGGUAAUAUUAUACCUUUUUUUAUUGUAAAGAUAUCAUUUUAUACUUUAUGUAUGUAGUAAUAUGUUCAAUCUUUGUAUUUUUGUUUUAUAUGGCCUAUUUCGAUAUUUUUAAUUUGUUAAAUUUUAAGUAUUCUAAGAGUAAAGAAACGUAAUUUUGACUUUUUAAAAUUCUUUUAUACUAAAAUAUGACAUUAACUGAAUUGAAAAAUUCUUUUGAAAAACGAUUGACAAUAGAGAAUCGCUAUUAUCAUAUACAAGAAGACAAAUCAAAUAAUUUUUUCAGAUUAGAUUUAAACAUUGCUAAUUCAAAAAAUAUACACCAAAGUUAUUGGAGACCAGGAAUAAUUAGAAACGCAUGCGACGAAAUACUCAGACGGAUGAAUAGAACUUUUUUUUCUAAGUCAUACAUUUGUCAUUCAUAAAAUUUAACAUACGUUUGAAGCAUGACAAUAUUUGACUAAUUUUUUAAUGGAUUAAUAAUUAGAGCAAUUUCAUUAAAGUUUAAUGUGCUUUCAUGAAAUGGACAUAUUGAAAAAAGAACAUUGAACAUUGAACGAUUUAUACAAGUGAAUUAAAAAAAGGAAAAAAAUGAUAAUCCAUGCUCCAGAUAUUUCAAAAAAUUUUAUUUUGAACACAGCAAUACAUGAUGCUACUAAUAUAAUACUCAAACCAUAUUUAACUUCAAGUGUUUCUUCAUCAUGCCUUCCAAAUAUUCGUAUUUAUGCAGAUGCUAAUGAAUCGGCAAAUUCAAAGCAAGACCAUACAAAAAAGUCUCAAUAUUUUUUAACACGAAUGGCAACAAUAGCAUGGGAUUUUUUAAAUAUUUCUGUUAUUUUUUAUCAUAAUGUAAUAGAACAAGACAAAGACAGCGACUUAAAAUAAUAUAUUACAUAAGUUUUUAUUGAAUGACUUUAAAUUAAGUUUUUAUUACGAUAAUAGCUAUGUUUAAGAGGUAAAACGAAUACAUAGUUUCCUAUAAACUUUUUUACAUCACUGUAUAACAUUUGCUAUUAUAAUUUAAGAUAAAGUCAAUUGGCUAGCUUUUAA